AGCUCCAACAACUAAUAAAUAAGAAUUCCCUUAAUUUCUUGAUCUCAUAUUUAACAAGAAAGGAUGCUUGCUUCGGCAUGCUCAUAUACCCUUGCAGCAAAUAAUUUUUCGACUGCUCCUAUUGCAACUAUAUGAUAUAUUCGCCCAUCAAAUUGAAACCGAAAAAAUAUAAGAUCAAAACAGUGUCAUAUACCGAGUUAAAACCACGAAACUCUAAUUCAUUUUCUAUUAUUAUUUUAAAUUAGUUUUCCGACUGUUCCUUCGGCAGCUAUGUAUAUGAUAUAAUCGUUCGAUGCUUUUCAAAUUAAAGCCGAAAUAAUAAUCCGAUCCCACCCGUUCCGACUUACAUAUACAUACAUAUGUACUUCCCUUCGAAAAAGUCUCAUUCCAAAGCUUUACAAUUAAGAGGGGUAUAAGAAAUAAUACGAAAGCAUUUACUUACUGCAUCAAAAUCUGAGAUGACCUCAUUGAGAAAACGUAAACAUUCCAAGCCCUGGUUGUUUACUGUUUCUUCGGAAUAGAAAUCUGAAAAAGAAGAGCGCCGAUAGUGAUUUUCCUCGUCAUUAACUGCCGGUUGUGCACACAGCUUGUGUUGCCAGAUUCAGAGAAUGCGUUUAUAAAUAUCUCACCUCUCGUAGGGGCCGACUGAUCCCAGGGAAUCCCGAUGGUCCAUAUGUUAAACAACGCGGCCGCAAAGACAAACCACUUCAAUCCACUGCGGCGUUGUUUGAUGGAGUAGUUGUGAUAGAGUUCGUUAAGCACGUGCUGCGGCAAAAUGACGACUCCGCCACCGGUGAUUCCCACGCCUCCGGCCACAUCGCUGUCGUUUUGCCGCCGACGAGAUGUUGUUUGACGCUGCGAAUGCGAUUUGCUUGUCGAGGCGUUCGUCAUCUGACCGUUCUCCAAAUUUGCUUCCAUCACGUUUGUCUAUGAUGUUAUUCGUUGUUCGACCUUAUUUGGUAUUUGUGGUUUACUAAUAAUGCGAAGCCAUGUUCGUGGUUUAUUUGUUUAUGAUGUAACAAGAACCUAAAAUCGUUCAAUUGUCUGAAUAAAAGCACUGCAAGCCAAAACCAAAUACAGGGACAAAGUAUAA
This is a long non-coding RNA of Drosophila simulans, 1093 nucleotides long. RefSeq lists it as uncharacterized. The transcript is spliced from 3 exons. The record is from RefSeq and is a predicted model, not a curated record. Lineage: Eukaryota; Metazoa; Arthropoda; Insecta; Diptera; Drosophilidae.